Molecule: unclassified non-coding RNA, 253 nt
Filed under: uncultured Solirubrobacterales bacterium
Lineage: Bacteria; Bacillati; Actinomycetota; Thermoleophilia; Solirubrobacterales
Description: contains 16S-23S intergenic spacer region
Rfam family: Bacterial small subunit ribosomal RNA
Source: RNAcentral
UACGUAGGGGGCGAGCGUUGUCCGGAAUUAUUGGACGUAAAGCGCGCGUAGGCGGCCCGGUAAGUCCGCUGUGAAAGUCAAAGGCUCAACCUUUGGAUGCCGGUGGAUACUGCCGGGCUAGAGUCCGGAAGAGGCGAGUAGAAUUCCUGGUGUAGCGGUGGAAUGCGCAGAUAUCAGGAGGAAUACCUAUAGCGAGGGCAGCUCGCUGGGACGGUACUGACGCUAAGGCACGAAAGCGUGGGGAGCGAACAGG